This is a long non-coding RNA of Gadus macrocephalus (Pacific cod), 151 nucleotides long. RefSeq lists it as uncharacterized. The transcript is spliced from 3 exons. Lineage: Eukaryota; Metazoa; Chordata; Actinopteri; Gadiformes; Gadidae. The record is from RefSeq and is a predicted model, not a curated record.
GUUUGAUGUGUCCAGGCACUUCAUAAGGAGAAUUCUUUGGAGGAUUUCUUACUCUUUCGUUGGUCAAGGAUGCAGCAGCAGAGUGACCUCCCGUGUUAAUAAAGCUCCUGCUUUCACGCUUGAUGUUUCAAGAUGAACCAUGAGCCAAGGU